RNAcentral lists this ribosomal RNA (225 nucleotides) under uncultured bacterium. Its description in RNAcentral is "partial 16S ribosomal RNA". It matches the Rfam family "Bacterial small subunit ribosomal RNA", at positions 109 to 334 of the family's 1533-position model. The record is from RNAcentral.
AGUAACGCGUGGAUAACCUGCCUCACACUGGGGGAUAGCAGUUAGAAAUGACUGCUAGUACCGCAUGAGCGCACAGUACCGCAUGGUACGGUGUGAAAAACUCCGGUGGUGUGAGAUGGAUCCGCGUCUGAUUAGCCAGUUGGCGGGGUAACGGCCCACCAAAGCGACGAUCAGUAGCCGACCUGAGAGGGUGACCGGCCACAUUGGGACUGAGACACGGCCCAA